UGAGCUCAGCAGUAAAAGCGGAGGCAAAGCAAACAGUUGUGCCCGGGGCCUGCCCUCUCGGAGCUUGGCACCAGCCGGGGAGGAGAGCAUCACCCCCGGGGUGUGGGUUUAAGCGCAGGGGCCCUGGCGGAAGAGGCAUCGUAAAAGGGAUUUAAGAAAUCCCCAUCGGCCGGGGCUACAGAGCGCAUCACCACCCCACAGAGAGCGCCCCUAAAGCGCCCUGUGCGGGGAGUGGCUGCAGCCCCACCAGAAAGGAGGGGAGAAUAAUCCAGACGUAGGUGUCAUCGUAUGCCAAGACCUUGCUCGUGGAUGGAGCCUGGACAGGAUUGCAAAGCAGGGUGGACGACAGGUCUGGAGCAGACCUGGAGACCGGCAGGGCUGCCCUCCCCACAAUCACAGGGGAGUCUGUGCGUGGUCCCAAGAGCACCACUAGAAUCAUGCAGGACCUCCCAGCUCUGCCGCAGCGAGCAAUUCAUCUGAGGCCGACCCACUGUUCGGGAAGAGACCGCCUCUGCGCUUGAGACCUCCAAGCCAACUUACUUCGCGUUGAAAUUUCCUUCUUCUUUUGCUUCUCGUUAUAAAGGCUGACGCAUAAUUUAACCAACGUUUUCCUCCAGCGGCGAUCAUUCUAUCUUGCUGGGUCAUCCCCAAGUUGCGAAGGUACGACUGACCGCCAUAAUGUGCUUUAACGAACUUCCAUCCCCCCCGCCCCUGAGAACUUUCUAUCAAAGAAGUGGUUGAGUUAUUCUGAAGUUGAAAACUACUGAGAGAAGAACACAUGCAAGACACAGCCGGGCGGACCCAGUGUGCGUGGAGGAUGAGGAGUAAGUUACUGUGGUUUACGAUCGUGCAGGAUAAGAAGUGGCAGGAGAUGGGCUACAAAAGGAAUAUUAUGUUCCAAUUAUGACAGCUCUUAGGCAGCAAGGAUUUGGAUUUCAUCCAGCAAGCAGCAGGAAGGAAUCAAUGGACAUUUUUGUCAAGAGAUAGUAUCCACUUUGUUGUUUAGAAGAAAAAAGACACACACACACACACACACACACACACACACACAAGGUCCGGUGAUGUGACA
Leopardus geoffroyi (Geoffroy's cat) is the source of this 1069-nucleotide long non-coding RNA. RefSeq lists it as uncharacterized. The record is from RefSeq and is a predicted model, not a curated record. The transcript has 4 exons. Lineage: Eukaryota; Metazoa; Chordata; Mammalia; Carnivora; Felidae.